RNAcentral lists this ribosomal RNA (221 nucleotides) under uncultured bacterium. RNAcentral describes it as "partial 16S ribosomal RNA". It matches the Rfam family "Bacterial small subunit ribosomal RNA", at positions 793 to 1012 of the family's 1533-position model. The record is from RNAcentral.
GUCCAANNUGUAAACGAUGUCGAUUUGAAGGUUGUAGUCUNAGAGCUAUGGCUUUCGGAGCUAACGUGUUAAAUCGACCGCCUGGGGAGUACGGCCGCAAGGUUAAAACUCAAAUGAAUUGACGGGGGCCCGCACAAGCGGUGGAGCAUGUGGUUUAAUUCGAUGCAACGCGAAGAACCUUACCUACCCUUGACAUCCAAAGAACUGCGUAGAGAUAUGCA